RNAcentral lists this long non-coding RNA (563 nucleotides) under Pongo abelii (Sumatran orangutan). Its description in RNAcentral is "lincRNA". The record is from RNAcentral. Lineage: Eukaryota; Metazoa; Chordata; Mammalia; Primates; Hominidae.
AUUUCAUGUGAACUUGGAUUACUAUAUGGAAAUGGAGAAUUGUAAUGUAGCACCUUCAACAGAAAGACAAUCAAAGGUAUACAUCCUGACAGGUUCAGACCCCUGAAGGAUCUGUUAGACAAUGUCCAACACUCCAGUGAAAGAAAAUACAGAGUAAGAAAGUGUGGGAAUCAUAAAGGAAGGCAGAACCAAAAGACAGAGGGAUCUUGGGCCAUGAGUCACAGCAAGGAAAGCCUCCCACCAAACAUCUGCACUGGACUCCUACAGGAACAAGAAAUGAACUACCGUGUUCAGCCCCUGAGACUUGGGCUUAACAUGAUUUUCACAUUGUCUACCCUACCUAAUAGAGCAGAGAUGUAAAUAUUAUUCUUAUUUUAGAGGUGUGAUGCCUCAGCUGCAAUGGCUGAGAACUAUUACUCAUUUAUUCUCUUCCAAGGUAAUAAAAGAGAAUGGACCAAAGACAGUCUGUCAUCACAUCUAGUCAAAAGAGCUAAUGUCGCAGUACAACUCUUCAAAAGAAAAAGAAAAAACAAGAAAAAAGCAAUAAACAGAUGUGUUCUGCU